CCAGACUCCUACGGGAGGCAGCAGUGAGGAAUAUUGGUCAAUGGGCGGGAGCCUGAACCAGCCAAGUCGCGUGAGGGAAGACGGUCCUAUGGAUUGUAAACCUCUUUAGGCGGGGAGCAAUGCCGGGCACGCGUGCCCGGAGGGAGAGUACCCGCAGAAUAAGCAUCGGCUAACUCCGUGCCAGCAGCCGCGGUAAUACGGAGGAUGCGAGCGUUAUCCGGAUUUAUUGGGUUUAAAGGGUGCGCAGGCGGAUUUUUAAGUCAGCGGUAAAAUCGUGGGGCUCAACCCCAUCCAGCCGUUGAAACUGGGGAUCUAGAGUGUGCGAGAGGUAUGCGGAAUGCGUGGUGUAGCGGUGAAAUGCAUAGAUAUCACGCAGAACCCCGAUUGCGAAGGCAGCAUACCGGUGCACAACUGACGCUCAGGCACGAAAGCGUGGGUAUCGAACAGGAUUAGAUACCCUCGUAC
This 465-nucleotide ribosomal RNA is filed under the name uncultured bacterium. RNAcentral describes it as "partial 16S ribosomal RNA". It matches the Rfam family "Bacterial small subunit ribosomal RNA", at positions 331 to 793 of the family's 1533-position model. The record is from RNAcentral.